This 253-nucleotide ribosomal RNA is filed under the name uncultured bacterium. Its description in RNAcentral is "partial 16S ribosomal RNA". It matches the Rfam family "Bacterial small subunit ribosomal RNA", at positions 524 to 776 of the family's 1533-position model. The record is from RNAcentral.
UACGUAGGGGGCGAGCGUUGUCCGGAGUUACUGGGCGUAAAGGGCAUGCAGGCGGUCGGACGCGUUUUGUGUGACAGCGGGUGGCUUAACUACCCGAGUAUGCGAAAGACGGUCUGACUUGAGGGCUCGAGAGGGACACGGAAUUCCGGGUGGAGUGGUGAAAUGCGUAGAGAUCCGGAGGAACACCAAAGGCGAAGGCAGUGUCCUGGCGAGCAUCUGACGCUGAGGUGCGAAAGCUAGGGGAGCGAACGGG